GAUGAACGCUAGCUGGAGGCUUAAUACAUGCAAGUCGAGCGGGAUUGGUAGCAAUACCAUGAGAGCGGCGCACGGGUGAGUAACGCGUACACGACCUACCUCUGACAGGGGGAUAGCCCUGGGAAACUGGGAUUAAUACCGCAUAUUAUUCUGAUUAAUAAAGGAUUGGAAUGAAAGUUCAGGCGGUCAGAGAUGGGUGUGCGUCUGAUUAGCUAGUUGGUGGGGUAACGGCCUACCAAGGCGAUGAUCAGUAGGGGGCGUGAGAGCGUGGUCCCCCACACGGGUACUGAGACACGGACCCGACUGCUACGGGAGGCAGCAGUAAGGGAUAUUGGACAAUGGCCGCAAGGCUGAUCCAGCCAUCCAGCGUGCAGGAAGAAGGCCCUAUGGGUUGUAAACUGCUUUUAUCAGGGAAGAAACCUCUGGAUUUACUCCGGAGCUGACGGUACCUGAAGAAUAAGCACCGGCUAACUCCGUGCCAGCCGCCGCCGUAA
Molecule: ribosomal RNA, 494 nt
Filed under: uncultured bacterium
Lineage: Bacteria
Description: partial 16S ribosomal RNA
Rfam family: Bacterial small subunit ribosomal RNA
Source: RNAcentral